RNAcentral lists this ribosomal RNA (493 nucleotides) under uncultured bacterium. RNAcentral's name for it is "bacterial SSU rRNA". It matches the Rfam family "Bacterial small subunit ribosomal RNA", at positions 27 to 507 of the family's 1533-position model. The record is from RNAcentral.
CGGAUGAACGCUAGCGGCAGGCCUAAUCAUGCAAGUCGUACGGCAACACAGUUGCGAGCAAUCGCAACCGGUGGCGAGUGGCGCACGGGUGAGUAACGCGUAUGUAACCUACCCUUCUCCGGGACAUAACUCCGCGAAAGCGGUGCUAAUAUCCCAUACCAACUCAUCAAGACAUCUUCUUGAGUUGAAAGCAGCAAUGCGGUGAAGGAUGGGCAUGCGUCCCAUUAGCUGGUUGGUGAGGUAAUGGCCCACCAAGGCUACGAUGGGUAGGGGUUCUGAGAGGAAAGCCCCCCACACUGGUACUGAGACACGGACCAGACUCCUACGGGAGGCAGCAGUAAGGAAUAUUGGGCAAUGGUCGAAAGACUGACCCAGCCAUGCCGCGUGCAGGAUGAAGGCCCUAUGGGUUGUAAACUGCUUUUAGCCGGGAAUAAACACCCGUUUUAUAACGGGCCCGAAGGUACCGGCUGAAUAAGCAUCGGCUAACUCCGUG